UUCAUAGCAUAGUCACCCAAGUGACAGGUCAAUCUGGUUUUAGAAACUCCAUAAGUUCUAGAAAGUUUCUAUUUCCAGAUUCCGUGAUUUUCAAGUUUAGGAAUUUAGGAAUGCUUCUAAUUUGUGAGUUGUCUUAAGAAUAGAAAGUUGAGGGGUUAGUUAAUCAAUUAAUUAGUGGCCUGAUAUGCUAUGUAAUG
Long non-coding RNA from Telopea speciosissima, 197 nucleotides. RefSeq lists it as uncharacterized. The record is from RefSeq and is a predicted model, not a curated record. Lineage: Eukaryota; Viridiplantae; Streptophyta; Magnoliopsida; Proteales; Proteaceae. The transcript has 3 exons.